Long non-coding RNA from Argentina anserina (silverweed cinquefoil), 615 nucleotides. RefSeq lists it as uncharacterized. Lineage: Eukaryota; Viridiplantae; Streptophyta; Magnoliopsida; Rosales; Rosaceae. The record is from RefSeq and is a predicted model, not a curated record. The transcript is spliced from 3 exons.
UCGGGUACUGUUCACCCGAGCUCGGGCACUGUUCACCCGACCCAAAAACCUUCUCCGGCCGAUUUCUCCACCAUCCGACGUCGCCUCGUGUCGUGCCACCUAUCAAACUGACGGGCUCGACGAGCUCCAUCUUUUGGGCUACGCCUUGCACUCCGGCGACAACCACACACGGUGUAGCAACCGCCGGAAGUUACUGCUGUGGCGGCGCCGCCUCCUCCGGCCACCAUGGCUCAAGAUUCUUGGGGGGUUUUGCUUGUCUCAGUCCCAGCAACAUUCCCACAAAAGGAAUCGAGCCAAAUCGAAGUGUGACUGACGAAACGAGUGAGGAAAUUACUUUCAGGGUCGUGGAAGUUGCACGCAGGAAAGAAGUGGAUAACUCCGCAGGUGUGGAUUAGCGGGAAUUGACGGACCGCUCAGAGGACUUGAAGUUAUUCAUCUCCAGCUUGUGUGAGGAUUUUGUGUGACUAUCUUGUGAGUUUGUUGUGAGGAUUACGCAAUUCCAUUUGUUAUAAUAUUGAAUUAUAAUUUGGGUUGUAAUAAUCGGUUUAACUGAGUUGUAUUUUGAACUCAGAGAUGAUCCGCUGUGGCAUUUUAAAUGAUUUCGAUUCGUUGAAA